This 286-nucleotide ribosomal RNA is filed under the name Candidatus Bathyarchaeota archaeon. Its description in RNAcentral is "partial 16S ribosomal RNA". It matches the Rfam family "Archaeal small subunit ribosomal RNA", at positions 391 to 679 of the family's 1478-position model. Lineage: Archaea; Thermoproteati; Candidatus Bathyarchaeota. The record is from RNAcentral.
UCCGCUGAGGAUGGCUUUUUCCCGGUGUAAUGAGCCUGGAGAAUAAGGAGAGGGCAAGUCUGGUGUCAGCCGCCGCGGUAAUACCAGCUCUCCGAGUGGUAGGGAUGAUUAUUGGGCUUAAAGCGUCCGUAGCCGGCUUAGCAAGUCUCCUGUUAAAUUCAGCGACCUAAUCGUUGAGCCGCGGGAGACACUACUAGGCUAGGAGGCGGGAGAGGCCGACGGUAUUCUCGGGGUAGGGGUGAAAUCCUAUAAUCCCGGGAGGACCACCAGUGGCGAAGGCUGUCGG